RNAcentral lists this ribosomal RNA (253 nucleotides) under uncultured bacterium. Its description in RNAcentral is "partial 16S ribosomal RNA". It matches the Rfam family "Bacterial small subunit ribosomal RNA", at positions 524 to 776 of the family's 1533-position model. The record is from RNAcentral.
UACGGAGGGUGCAAGCGUUAAUCGGAAUUACUGGGCGUAAAGCGUGCGCAGGCGGUUUGUUAAGUCCGUUGUGAAAGCCCCGAGCUCAACUUGGGAAUUGCGGUGGAUACUGGCAGGCUGGAGUACGGUAGAGAAAGGUGGAAUUCCCGGUGUAGCAGUGAAAUGCGUAGAUAUCAGGAGGAAUACCGAUGGCGAAGGCAGGUCUCUGGGCUGACACUGACGCUCAUGCACGAAAGCGUGGGGAGCAAACAGG